Molecule: ribosomal RNA, 1344 nt
Filed under: Streptococcus thermophilus
Lineage: Bacteria; Bacillati; Bacillota; Bacilli; Lactobacillales; Streptococcaceae
Description: bacterial SSU rRNA
Rfam family: Bacterial small subunit ribosomal RNA
Source: RNAcentral
CUUGGAUGAGUUGCGAACGGGUGAGUAACGCGUAGGUAACCUGCCUUGUAGCGGGGGAUAACUAUUGGAAACGAUAGCUAAUACCGCAUAACAAUGGAUGACACAUGUCAUUUAUUUGAAAGGGGCAAUUGCUCCACUACAAGAUGGACCUGCGUUGUAUUAGCUAGUAGGUGAGGUAAUGGCUCACCUAGGCGACGAUACAUAGCCGACCUGAGAGGGUGAUCGGCCACACUGGGACUGAAACACGGCCCAGACUCCUACGGGAGGCAGCAGUAGGGAAUCUUCGGCAAUGGGGGCAACCCUGACCGAACAACGCCGCGUGAGUGAAGAAGGUUUUCGGAUCGUAAAGCUCUGUUGUAAGUCAAGAACGGGUGUGAGAGUGGAAAGUUCACACUGUGACGGUAGCUUACCAGAAAGGGACGGCUAACUACGUGCCAGCAGCCGCGGUAAUACGUAGGUCCCGAGCGUUGUCCGGAUUUAUUGGGCGUAAAGCGAGCGCAGGCGGUUUGAUAAGUCUGAAGUUAAAGGCUGUGGCUCAACCAUAGUUCGCUUUGGAAACUGUCAAACUUGAGUGCAGAAGGGGAGAGUGGAAUUCCAUGUGUAGCGGUGAAAUGCGUAGAUAUAUGGAGGAACACCGGUGGCGAAAGCGGCUCUCUGGUCUGUAACUGACGCUGAGGCUCGAAAGCGUGGGGAGCGAACAGGAUUAGAUACCCUGGUAGUCCACGCCGUAAACGAUGAGUGCUAGGUGUUGGAUCCUUUCCGGGAUUCAGUGCCGCAGCUAACGCAUUAAGCACUCCGCCUGGGGAGUACGACCGCAAGGUUGAAACUCAAAGGAAUUGACGGGGGCCCGCACAAGCGGUGGAGCAUGUGGUUUAAUUCGAAGCAACGCGAAGAACCUUACCAGGUCUUGACAUCCCGAUGCUAUUUCUAGAGAUAGAAAGUUACUUCGGUACAUCGGUGACAGGUGGUGCAUGGUUGUCGUCAGCUCGUGUCGUGAGAUGUUGGGUUAAGUCCCGCAACGAGCGCAACCCCUAUUGUUAGUUGCCAUCAUUCAGUUGGGCACUCUAGCGAGACUGCCGGUAAUAAACCGGAGGAAGGUGGGGAUGACGUCAAAUCAUCAUGCCCCUUAUGACCUGGGCUACACACGUGCUACAAUGGUUGGUACAACGAGUUGCGAGUCGGUGACGGCGAGCUAAUCUCUUAAAGCCAAUCUCAGUUCGGAUUGUAGGCUGCAACUCGCCUACAUGAAGUCGGAAUCGCUAGUAAUCGCGGAUCAGCACGCCGCGGUGAAUACGUUCCCGGGCCUUGUACACACCGCCCGUCACACCACGAGAGUUUGUAACA